RNAcentral lists this ribosomal RNA (274 nucleotides) under uncultured bacterium. RNAcentral's name for it is "partial 16S ribosomal RNA". It matches the Rfam family "Bacterial small subunit ribosomal RNA", at positions 523 to 796 of the family's 1533-position model. The record is from RNAcentral.
AUACGGAGGGGGUUAGCGUUGUUCGGAAUUACUGGGCGUAAAGCGUACGUAGGCGGAUCAGAAAGUAAGGGGUGAAAUCCCAGGGCUCAACCCUGGAACUGCCUCUUAAACUCCUGGUCUCGAGUUCGAGAGAGGUGAGUGGAAUUCCAAGUGUAGAGGUGAAAUUCGUAGAUAUUUGGAGGAACACCAGUGGCGAAGGCGGCUCACUGGCUCGAUACUGACGCUGAGGUACGAAAGUGUGGGGAGCAAACAGGAUUAGAAACCCUAGUAGUCC